UGGGGAAUUUUGGACAAUGGGCGAAAGCCUGAUCCAGCAAUGCCGCGUGUGUGAAGAAGGCCUUCGGGUUGUAAAGCACUUUUGUCCGGAAAGAAAUCCUUGGCUCUAAUACAGUCGGGGGAUGACGGUACCGGAAGAAUAAGCACCGGCUAACUACGUGCCAGCAGCCGCGGUAAUACGUAGGGUGCAAGCGUUAAUCGGAAUUACUGGGCGUAAAGCGUGCGCAGGCGGUUUGCUAAGACCGAUGUGAAAAUCCCCGGGCUCAACCUGGGAACUGCAUUGGUGACUGGCAGGCUAGAGUAUGGCAGAGGGGGGUAGAAUUCCACGUGUAGCAGUGAAAAUGCGUAGAGAUGUGGAGGAAUACCGAUGGCGAAAGGCAGCCCCCUGGGCCAAAUACUGACGCUCAUGCACGAAAAGCGUGGGGGAGCAAAACAGGAUUAGAUACCCUGGUAGUCCACGCCCUAAAACGAUGUCAAACUAGUUGUUGGGGAUUCAUUUCCUUAGUAAACGUAGCUAAACGCGUGAAAGUUGACCGCCUGGGGAGUAACGGUCGCAAAGAUUAAAAACUCAAAGGAAUUGACGGGGUCAUAGCUGUUUCCU
Molecule: ribosomal RNA, 600 nt
Filed under: uncultured bacterium
Lineage: Bacteria
Description: partial 16S ribosomal RNA
Rfam family: Bacterial small subunit ribosomal RNA
Source: RNAcentral